GACGAACGCUGGCGGCGCGCUUAACACAUGCAAGUCGAACGGAAAGGCCCUGCUUUUGUGGGGUGCUCGAGUGGCGAACGGGUGAGUAACACGUGAGUAACCUGCCCUUGACUUUGGGAUAACUUCAGGAAACUGGGGCUAAUACCGGAUAGGAGCUCCUGCUGCAUGGUGGGGGUUGGAAAGUUUCGGCGGUUUGGGAUGGACUCGCGGCUUAUCAGCUUGUUGGUGGGGUAGUGGCUUACCAAGGCUUUGACGGGUAGCCGGCCUGAGAGGGUGACCGGCCACAUUGGGACUGAGAUACGGCCCAGACUCCUACGGGAGGCAGCAGUGGGGAAUAUUGCACAAUGGGCGGAAGCCUGAUGCAGCAACGCCGCGUGCGGGAUGACGGCCUUCGGGUUGUAAACCGCUUUCGCCUGUGACGAAGCGUGAGUGACGGUAAUGGGUAAAGAAGCACCGGCUAACUACGUG
This 468-nucleotide ribosomal RNA is filed under the name uncultured bacterium. RNAcentral describes it as "partial 16S ribosomal RNA". It matches the Rfam family "Bacterial small subunit ribosomal RNA", at positions 28 to 507 of the family's 1533-position model. The record is from RNAcentral.